GAGUCCCUUUGAUAUUGGCCUGGUUCAUUCAGAUCUUCUUGACCACACACGCACAUAUAUUGCAUUCUCUAGAUAUCUGAUUGAGCCGCGCCAAUAUCCCAGUGCUCUCU
Eutrema salsugineum is the source of this 110-nucleotide microRNA precursor. The record is from Rfam. NCBI's taxonomy places the organism in Eukaryota, Viridiplantae, Streptophyta, Magnoliopsida, Brassicales, Brassicaceae.